UAAGAGAGAAAUACUCAUUUUCGGGGAGAAAAUGAAUAUUAUAUUUAAAAGAAAAAUAUUUAAAUCGCAAUACCAGGGGAGAGAUGAUGUCUCAAGAUGGUUUGAGGGAACUAGGAGUCACUUGGGUGGAAAUCAAAAGGAUACCCAAGUGGAAAGCCCCAUGAGAUGAUUCAAAAACUUAUUUUCAAAUCAAAUAUUCAAAAAAAUCAAAUAAAAC
Molecule: long non-coding RNA, 217 nt
Filed under: Hordeum vulgare
Lineage: Eukaryota; Viridiplantae; Streptophyta; Magnoliopsida; Poales; Poaceae
Description: long non-coding RNA (HVUL_LNC010560)
Source: RNAcentral